Molecule: long non-coding RNA, 634 nt
Organism: Odocoileus virginianus texanus
Lineage: Eukaryota; Metazoa; Chordata; Mammalia; Artiodactyla; Cervidae
Source: RefSeq, a predicted model, not a curated record
UGCCCAAGUGAGGCGGAGCGGUUACUUAUUGAUCUCCUCAGCCUCUGAGUUCUGACUUCCUGGGUGGGGUUUUCGCUAAAAGUCGGGUAACCCACUGCAGAACAGUACACUCAUGGCUCAAUGGUGAAACAACACACAUGUGAGUGACAAAACAUGGAAAUCAGAAAAGGAAUAUAAAUAGAAAGAUUCCGAGACAAAUUCCUCAGCAGAGAGACGGCAGUCUUUUUCACACUUGGAUCACCAACAUGCAGCAUCUUUCGUGUGUGCUGAAGGCCAUUUUCCUUCUGGACAACUGUCUGAGCUACUGAUGUUGGCAUCUGUUUUGUGAGACAUGUCCUAUAAAUACUACUAUAUUUCAUUUUGGGGUAAAAUUUCUAAGUUUCUGUAGAUUACUAGAGAUUGUAAUAUAUAAGAUGUUUAUAUAAGAUGUAAAUAUGUUUAAAAAGCUAGCUUCAAAUUCUUAUUAAGUUUUCAAUUACUGGAUAAAGACAGUUUAUUCAGUAUUUUAAAAUAAAAAUAUUGGAUUUGGUUAGCUACAAUGUUUUUUGCAUCAGUUUAGCCAAGAUGGUAAAGAGUCUGCCUACAGUGCGGGAGAGCUGGGUUUGAUCCCUGGGUCUGGAAGAUCCCCUGCAGA